UUAGGUGUAGAGUAACCUUCUCCGGUCAGAGCCACCAACUCAAGGCUGGAAAACACAAAAAAGCCCGAUUACCAGUCGGGUUUUUU
RNAcentral lists this antisense RNA (86 nucleotides) under Escherichia coli. RNAcentral describes it as "ArsR-gov region gene B". It matches the Rfam family "ArsR-gov region gene B". Rfam says of the family: arsR-gov region gene B is transcribed opposite of dinQ (translates into a toxic single transmembrane peptide) with 30 complimentary nucleotides. AgrB appears to repress accumulation of dinQ by RNA interference and counteracts its toxicity. Lineage: Bacteria; Pseudomonadati; Pseudomonadota; Gammaproteobacteria; Enterobacterales; Enterobacteriaceae. The record is from RNAcentral.